CACGGCGGCUUGACAGUCAGAUGCUGAGCACUUUACAAGUGUAAUAUCACCAAUUUUUUCCAUUUAUUUAUUUUAAUUCAAAUCUCCUCCUUUUUGUUUUGAUUGUUUUUAAGGUCCAACCUGCUGUUGAUGAUGUGGGGAGCCACAAUGAUUUGUUUCUUCUUUGUGGCGGCACAGGUAACAUCACAAGAAAUUAAAGUCGAAUGCCGUAAACAUGAAAGUCAUGUGGCACCUCCAGAAAGUGAUUUCUCUCCAUCCUCCCUGAAGGAACUGAGAGGGGAGUUGGUGACAGAUGGAGCAAAUGAUAUGAUAAACAUAAGCUGGGCAAUCAGUG
Notothenia coriiceps (black rockcod) is the source of this 334-nucleotide long non-coding RNA. RefSeq lists it as uncharacterized. NCBI's taxonomy places the organism in Eukaryota, Metazoa, Chordata, Actinopteri, Perciformes, Nototheniidae. The record is from RefSeq and is a predicted model, not a curated record. The transcript is spliced from 3 exons.